This 253-nucleotide ribosomal RNA is filed under the name uncultured bacterium. Its description in RNAcentral is "partial 16S ribosomal RNA". It matches the Rfam family "Bacterial small subunit ribosomal RNA", at positions 524 to 775 of the family's 1533-position model. The record is from RNAcentral.
UACGGAGGGUGCAAGCGUUAUCCGGAUUUACUGGGUUUAAAGGGUGCGUAGUGGGUUGGUAAGUCAGUGGUGAAAUACUUUCGCUUAACGAAGGAACUGCCAUUGAUACUACCAGUCUUGAAUACAGUGGAGGUAGGCGGAAUGCGUCAUGUAGCGGUGAAAUGCUUAGAUAUGACGCAGAACACCAAUUGCGAAGGCAGCUUGCUAACACUGUUAUUGACACUGAGGCACGGAAAGCGUGGGGAUCAAACGG